RNAcentral lists this ribosomal RNA (368 nucleotides) under uncultured organism. RNAcentral's name for it is "bacterial SSU rRNA". It matches the Rfam family "Bacterial small subunit ribosomal RNA", at positions 526 to 896 of the family's 1533-position model. The record is from RNAcentral.
CGAAGGAUCCAAGCGUUAUCCGGAUUUAUUGGGUUUAAAGGGUGCGUAGGCGGAUUGAUAAGUCAGUGGUGAAAGCCUGUUGCUUAACAACAGAACUGCCAUUGAUACUGUCAAUCUUGAAUAUGUUUGAUGUGGGCGGAAUAUGACAUGUAGCGGUGAAAUGCUUAGAUAUGUCAUAGAACACCGAUUGCGAAGGCAGCUCACAAAGCCAUUAUUGACGCUGAGGCACGAAAGCGUGGGGAUCAAACAGGAUUAGAUACCCUGGUAGUCCACGCUGUAAACUUUGAUCACUCGCUGUUGGCGAUACACUGUCAGCGGCUAAGCGAAAGCGUUAAGUGAUCCACCUGGGGAGUACGAUCGCAAGAUUG